This 211-nucleotide unclassified non-coding RNA is filed under the name Hevea brasiliensis (rubber tree). Lineage: Eukaryota; Viridiplantae; Streptophyta; Magnoliopsida; Malpighiales; Euphorbiaceae. The record is from RNAcentral.
GUUUAAUUUUGUGAUUUGAAUGUAGAUAUUAUAAAGUAGUUUUUGAGAGUGUUUUUGUUUAGAUUUUAGAUGAUGAUAUUUUCGUUUUUAACGAAAUUAUUAGAGUUAUUUAAAUAUUUAUUUAUAGUUUUUAUAAAAAGAGUGUUUUUAAAUUGUUGUAUUAAAAGAAAGGUUUAAUUUUGUGAGAUGAAUGUAUAUAUUAUAAAGUAGU